This is a non-coding RNA of Gossypium hirsutum (cotton), 45 nucleotides long. Lineage: Eukaryota; Viridiplantae; Streptophyta; Magnoliopsida; Malvales; Malvaceae. The record is from Rfam.
UUAACGGCGCUUAUAAGCGCCACUAAAAGUAUUAGCUGCACUUUU